RNAcentral lists this ribosomal RNA (397 nucleotides) under uncultured bacterium. Its description in RNAcentral is "partial 16S ribosomal RNA". It matches the Rfam family "Bacterial small subunit ribosomal RNA", at positions 523 to 918 of the family's 1533-position model. The record is from RNAcentral.
AUACGAAGGGUGCAAGCGUUACUCGGAAUUACUGGGCGUAAAGCGUGCGUAGGUGGUUGUUUAAGUCUGUCGUGAAAGCCCUGGGCUCAACCUGGGAAUGGCGAUGGAAACUGGGCGACUAGAGUGUGGCAGAGGGUAGUGGAAUUCCUGGUGUAGCAGUGAAAUGCGUAGAGAUCAGGAGGAACAUCCGUGGCGAAGGCGACUGCCUGGGCCAACACUGACACUGAGGCACGAAAGCGUGGGGAGCAAACAGGAUUAGAUACCCUGGUAGUCCACGCCCUAAACGAUGCGAACUGGAUGCUGGGUGCAAUUUGGCACGCAGUAUCGAAGCUAACGCGUUAAGUUCUCCGCCUGGGGAGUACGGUCGCAAGACUGAAACUCAAAGGAAUUGACGGGG